CCUACGGGUGGCAGCAGUGGGGAAUAUUGGGCAAUGGGCGCAAGCCUGACCCAGCAACGCCGCGUGAAGGAAGAAGGCUUUCGGGUUGUAAACUUCUUUUCUCAGGGACGAAGCAAGUGACGGUACCUGACGAAUAAGCCACGGCUAACUACGUGCCAGCAGCCGCGGUAAUACGUAGGUGGCAAGCGUUAUCCGGAUUUACUGGGUGUAAAGGGCGUGUAGGCGGGGACGCAAGUCAGACGUGAAAUCCAAGGGCUCAACCCUUGAACUGCGUUUGAAACUGUGUUUCUUGAGUGAUGGAGAGGCAGGCGGAAUUCCGUGUGGAGCGGUGAAAUGCGUAGAUAGAAGGAGGAACACCAGGGGCGAAGGCGGCCUGCUGGACAGCAACUGACGCUGAGGCGCGAAAGCGUGGGGAGCAAACAGGAUUAGAUACCCCAGUAGGC
RNAcentral lists this ribosomal RNA (443 nucleotides) under uncultured bacterium. RNAcentral's name for it is "partial 16S ribosomal RNA". It matches the Rfam family "Bacterial small subunit ribosomal RNA", at positions 338 to 795 of the family's 1533-position model. The record is from RNAcentral.